UUGAUUAAGACGUGAUAAGAUUUUGUAUAAAAGGAGUUUGCAUGCCGCAUUAAUACCAUUAUUCAGUUUCCUCUAUGAACUCAAAAUGCGGUGUACACUGAUUGUUUGCGUCUUCAUACUUGCUCUGAUUGGAAGUGCGUGUGUUCCGAGUGUCGAAGGCAGACUAUCACCGUGUGAUUGCCGGUACCGAUGCCGAAGGGAGGAAUGUUACGUCCGUAGGUGUGGAGAUUUGGGUUUGAAAAAAUUAUGCUGCCGUCGUAGAGGGGGACGCUGCCGCGGCUGAACACCUGUAUGUGAGCAUCUCCUGCAAGACUUUCUUCAAGGAUGAUGUGCUAUAAAUACUGUUAAAACAGUUCAAAUGACACAAUAAUAUCAUUCCCUGUAUACUGUAUUUUUAUAUAAUAAACCUAUAAUAAUCUCAUUUAUUAAACUUUUUUUGGAUCAAAAUGCAUUCAGCAUGCAAGAGGUCCCUUCCUAUUAGCGCAUUCGAUUAUGAAUCGACAGUAAGAGCUGGCCCAUUCCUACCCGAGCAUUCGGUCAUGAACCGGCAGUUAGACUUAGCUAGCCCAUUUCUAAUGAUAAUUGAAUAUAUUUUUUUUAAAUAAGAUGUAAGACAACUGUUCCAGGUGAACUUGUAUUAUUCAAAUAAAACAUGUCAACUUUUGAUGUUAACAGCGAUGACGUUAUUAGUUUUUUUAACUGCUUUUGGAAUAAUUUUGGUUGUGUGUGAAGACAAAAAAGUGCAAAGAGUAUAACGAAUAAAAUUAAUUCAUGUAUGUUUUUGUACCCUUGAACGAUUGCGAAAUAUGUCAAUUCACUCCCGAUUACAAUUAAACUAAAAAGCAAGAAGAAAGAACGUUUUCGGUGUAUAAUUUUAAGUUUUUCAAAAAACAAUCAUCAAAAAAAUACUUUUUAAAUGAUACAACCAUUAUAUGAGGUUAACGGCAAUAUACACUUUAAAUGAAUGCCGCCGACGUAUUGAUAAAAUGACAAGCGUAACAACAACAACAACAACAACAACAACACCAACAACAACGUUUAUUGCAUAGGCGAUUAUAAAUCGCAACAUAGGCUUCAAUCAAUAAUAAUCGCAUGUGGACACUUUAGCUUAAUUGAGUUUCAAGCGGUUGUUGUUGCCUGCUAAUUUCGAAUGAUAAAUGACUUUGUUAACAUAAAAUAAAUAAGAAAACAGACAAAUCGUGUUUGGUUUUAAAUGUAGAUCGUUAACUAUGCAUCCGUACCAUACUGUAACGUCGCGAACGUCGUAAAGUUAAUUGUAUAUCGUUCGUACGUGAAUUUGAGCAAGAGAACCGUUCAAUUACCAUUGGUCGCCCUUUUGAAUCUCUACGAAAUUAUGUUGUGUUAAACAAAAUAUAAUAAAUAAAUGACGUUACUCCCUUGAAUCAUAUCAAAACUAAUAUUUAUGAGAAUUCGAAUAAGUUAGUUUAAACGUUAUAUAUUUUACAACGAUUGUGAAGAAAGUUACGAUAACUUCUACUUAGUCACUCUCGUUGGCACGAUGUUGCGCGAGAGAGUGGUCUUGCUUUGUAAGGGAAACCGGAAUGCCCGGGGAAAACCCACUUGUCUGGCUUGGUGACCACAAACCAACUCGCAUGCGCCUAGGCCGGGAAUCGAACCGGGUCGCCUCGGUAAGAAGCGAGUGCGCAAACCACUGUGCUAACUGGAUCAGAGUUCCAUUAGUCCGCAGUUUGGAUAAAAAAUAUUUGCGGUAUAAAAACUGUACAUCCAAUCUGGCUAAAAAGACAAUUUCAUUGAAAAUGAGUAUUUUUGCUAAGUUUUAAAAAUGAUAAUGUGUUAGAUAGAAAAAAAUGCUAGAGGAUUAAGGUGAUUGCUGCUUAACCUCCCGUUCUCCCACUUAUAGUUUACCAAACAAACCUAUUCAGUAUAAUUAAUAGAAUAUACGUGGGGUCCCGAAUCCUGACAGCGCGCUUGACCACUACAUGUUUGGGAUCCCAGUCGAGCACUCUCCAUGAUACGCCCCAUUCCCUGAAAUACGGAAUCCUCUCCAGGAUACGCCCAAAUCCCUAAAAUACAGAAUCCGUUCCGGAAAACAAUUUGCAAAAUACAAUCACAAGUUUCUAUGCAAAAUUAUUUAACAGUUUUUGGUAACCAAGAUUUGUAUCCAAUCCUUGAAUAGCUUCAAUUUUUAUCGUCGAAAUAGUUAUGUUUUAUUUAGGUUUCAGUCUGAUUUAACACCUUAGUCUCUCAUUCGGAACUCCUCGGCCAUCUAAAACAACCUCAAAUGUAGGCCGGUACAUCAGUAGAAGUAGUUCGUAAAGGUAUUAAUGAACUGUUGUGUUUAAUCGUGUAUUUUGUAUCUCUAAGUUCAAAAUGACUGCCAAUGGUGUGAAUUAUUGCACCAAUAAUUAAGAUUCCCAAGAAUAAAGUCAUAGAGUGCAACUGCUUAAUUUAAAUUACUACGAGAUUUUCUUGCAGCGUAGUUUAAAUGUAAAUAUUUCUGAUACUGUAAAUCGUCCAUAAACAUCCAAGGUUGUUUUCGAGGAAAAACGGCCGAGGAGUUCCGAAUGCUGAAUCUCUAAUUUUGCCGAGCAGAACUUUUAUCUAAAAGAUUUAUACAAAAAUAAACCGCAUCAAAAACAACUGGUUAGGCCUUUAUUUUGAUCUCAUUCCAUUAAGAAGUUCGAUGUUUGAUGUUUGCCCAGACGAGCUUUGGUUGUAAAGUGAUAGACAAGAACGCUGGAUUUAGACGUGAUAAGAUAUCGUAUAAAAGGAGUUUGCGAAGGUCGCAUUAAUACCAUUAUUCAGUUUCGUCUAAGAACUCAAAAUGCGAUGUAAACUGAUUGUUUACUUCUUUAUACUUGCUCUGAUUGGAAGUGCGUGUGUUCCGAGAGUCGAAGCAUGUGAAUGUCGGUUAAUCCGAUGCCGAAGAGGGGAAUGUUAUAUUCGUAGGUGUGUGUUCUUGCGACUGGGACGAUUAUGCUGCCGUCGUAGGGGUGGACGCUGCAGUGGCUGAAGUCCUGCAUGUAAGCAUCUCCGGCUGGACUUUUUUCAAGGAUGAUGUGCUGUAACUAUUGUUAAAACAGUUCAAAUGACAUACUAAUAUAAUUCCCUGUAUACUGUAUUUUUUAUAUAAUAAACCUUUAAUAAUCUCA
This is a long non-coding RNA of Mya arenaria, 3134 nucleotides long. RefSeq lists it as uncharacterized. The transcript has 3 exons. NCBI's taxonomy places the organism in Eukaryota, Metazoa, Mollusca, Bivalvia, Myida, Myidae. The record is from RefSeq and is a predicted model, not a curated record.